GACGAACGCUGGCGGCGUGCUUAACACAUGCAAGUCGAACGGAAAGGCCCUGCUUUUGUGGGGUGCUCGAGUGGCGAACGGGUGAGUAACACGUGAGUAACCUGCCCUUGACUUUGGGAUAACUUCAGGAAACUGGGGCUAAUACCGGAUAGGAGCUCCUGCUGCAUGGUGGGGGUUGGACAGUUUCGGCGGUUGGGGAUGGACUCGCGGCUUAUCAGCUUGUUGGUGGGGUAGUGGCUUACCAAGGCUUUGACGGGUAGCCGGCCUGAGAGGGUGACCGGGCACAUUGGGACUGAGAUACGGCCCAGACUCCUACGGGAGGCAGCAGUGGGGAAUAUUGCACAAUGGGCGGAAGCCUGAUGCAGCAACGCCGCGUGCGGGAUGACGGCCUUCGGGUUGUAAACCGCUUUAGCCUGUGACGAAGCGGGAGUGACGGUACUGGGUAAAGAAGCACCGGCUAACUACGUG
This 468-nucleotide ribosomal RNA is filed under the name uncultured bacterium. RNAcentral's name for it is "partial 16S ribosomal RNA". It matches the Rfam family "Bacterial small subunit ribosomal RNA", at positions 28 to 507 of the family's 1533-position model. The record is from RNAcentral.